Molecule: ribosomal RNA, 950 nt
Filed under: Hylemyza partita
Lineage: Eukaryota; Metazoa; Arthropoda; Insecta; Diptera; Anthomyiidae
Description: eukaryotic LSU rRNA
Rfam family: Eukaryotic large subunit ribosomal RNA
Source: RNAcentral
CAAAUGUGAGAUGCAGUGUAUGGAAUGUCAAAUUUCUAGUAUGAGAAAUUAACGAUUUAAGUCCUUCUUAAAUGAGGCCAUUUACCCAAAGAGGGUGCCAGGCCCGUAUAACGUUAAUGAUUACUAGAUGACAUUUCCAAAGAGUCGUGUUGCUUGAUAGUGCAGCACUAAGUGGGUGGUAAACUCCAUCUAAAACUAAAUAUAACCAUGAGACCGAUAGUAAACAAGUACCGUGAGGGAAAGUUGAAAAGAACUCUGAAUAGAGAGUUAAAUAGUACGUGAAACUGCUUAGAGGUUAAGCCCGAUGAACCUGAAUAUCCUUUAUGAAAAAUUCAUCAUUAUGAUUUUAAUAUUAAUAAUAUUAUAAUAAUGGUGUGCAUUUUUUUCAUAUAUGGACAUUGUAAUCUAUUAACAACAUUAUUUAUCAUAAGAUCAUUGCGUAAGUUUAUUCAAAUUAUUUUGCUUGCAAUUUAACAUAGAAUAAAUGCUUUUGAUUUGAUAAAGUGUUGAUAGAUUUAUUAUAUAUAGUGCUUGAAUAUUUAUAUUCUAUAAUGGCAUAUUGAUCAUUGAUCUUUGUGUUUAUAUUAUAUGCACUUAUAUGAUUAACAAUGCGAAAGAUUCAGGAUACCUUCGGGACCCGUCUUGAAACACGGACCAAGGAGUCUAACAUAUUUGCAAGUUAUUGGGAAUUAAAAACCUAAUAGCGAAAUUAACAUAACUUAUAUAAUGGGAUUAGUUUUUAGUACUAUUUAUAGUCUAUUAAUUCAAUCCCGGGGCGUUCUAUACAGUUAUGUAUAAUAGUAUUUAUAUUAUUUAUACCUCUAACUAGAGCGUACCUUGAGCAUAUAUGCUGUGACCCGAAAGAUGGUGAACUAUACUUGAUCAGGUUGAAGUCAGGGGAAACCCUGAUGGAAGACCGAAACAGUUCUGACGUGCAAAUCGAUUGUCAG